UCAUGCCAGGUUUAAAGAGUGGCUAGAAAUGAUAACCCUUAUCAACUCCCCACUUGAAACCACACUGUCGCAGUUCUGGUGGGGGAAGGGGAACAUUGUUUUAAAGCAGUGAAAAAACAAGUUACAUCUGUUUAAAAAAUUUACCUAUGGCAUGUAAAAUACUGGAUUCCAACAGUCUCUGAUUCCUCAGUCUAACAACAAAUAUUUUGGAACUACUUCAUAAUGGAAUAUGAUCUCUAGAGUGGAAGUGGUUCUGGGUUUAUUUGUGCAUAUUGUGCUGCUCUGUGAUGGUGCUUCAGAAAUAGCACUGAUGGGCUCCAGGAAGAAUCCAAAUUCCCCAAGAAGAGGUCAAUAAAGACAAAUAAGGCAAGGCUGAAAAGAAGGGGAUAAAGGGAAGAAAAUAAAUUUUAUAAGAGCUCAUUAAAAACAACUGCAAGUGUCCUGAGGCAAGGAGGAGUCUAUUGUACAUCAGCCCUUAGAAAGGCAGAGAAUCCUUAAAAGCUGAAGACCAUGGAAGGGAAGUCAGAGAGAAACUAAGCUAUUUUUAAGUCUGGCUUAUGGUGCACUUGUGUAUGAAAGCUAAAGGAAGAUUUUAAAUAAACUAUGGUAUGGACUAAGCUCGAUUGGCUCUUCAGCCACUCUCUUCAAAGAACUCUUUCCUCCCUCUCCCAGAAAACUCUCCUCAACCUAAGCUAGUGCUGACCAACGUCUCUGGACAACAGGCUGCACAGCUCAAAGCAACUGUGGAAUGGUGCUGGAAGAAGGAUACCAGCAUUCCCUGUGGUUUAUGUCUUUCCAGCUUCCCUCUCCCGCCUUUCUGGGUCUCCACCUAAUGCAGAAAUCACUGUUUCAAGUACUGAUCCAGCAAAAAGGCUGUGAGCACAAUCGAGCUCACAACACAGUCACUAGUGGUGGCACACAAAAACAUAUUUUAGCAAAAAGAAAAGCCAGACUGAGAUGCUUUCUGGGAUGGCUCAAAGUCCUCAUGAAACCACUGGGCUGCCCUGGUAUAGAGGGCUGGGCUCCCUGGCACCUCCUCUGCCCACAGAGCACACCUGCUGUGCUUGCACAGAGUCACUAUGGGAAGACAGUGGCUCUGUCCCCACCAGAGAGGUCAGGAUGCCAGCACAGCAAAGUAUCCUUGAGUAAGCAGCUGUCCAAGACCAAACCAUUCCCAGAAAGACAGCAAUCCACAGGCUGCUGGGCUGUCUGUUUCAGCAGCUCAGAAAUGGAGAGGAGGCGGCAAGACAGGUGACUUUUGCCAGAAUUCAGAACCCAUGCAUCAUCAGGGUUGGCCUCUGAAAUGUCCUCCCCAGUCACACUCCAUCACAACCCAGCACGUGGCUGGGGGAGGUAAAACCAGUCAAGAAACCAAACUGGUGGUCAGGAACACGCAAUGUCACCCCCAGACAGCUCACCUUGCCCCAGCAUAAAGAGGACAAGGAUGACUUAUCCUUCUGAGUCACAACAGCCUCUGAGUUGUGGGUUGGCUGCCCUACCCUGAUGAGUCUCUCCCUGUUCCUGUUUACCAAGCAGAGAUCGUGUAGUGGGGAAAAAGAGGCUGUGAGAUGUGCUGACAAAUCACCACCAAACAGAACCAUGUAUUGGAGGGAGAGAGGACAAGAGUUCAGUACUGCAAAUACAGCGAAGGUUGAACUGUUAUGAACAGUACGGGGAUAAAAGCCUGAGUUAUUUGUGGCAGCUCAGGAACAGAGGAGUCACAGGCAUUUCUGCCAAUCUGCUCAUCUGAGGAGUGCUGGAAGCAGGCCAUUCACAGAUUCAUGGAGAGGUUUGGACAGGAAGGGACCGUGGGACGUUCCUUCUUCAUCCUUCUGCCCAAAGCAUAAGUAACUCUGAAACUUCUAUCAGUCAGCAGACUGAGGGCUCCCUCAGGCAAAUUUGAUGAGGGAGAUGCCAGUGCCUUUCCAGGCAUCCUGUUUGGGUGCACAACCAUUUUCACAAAGGAAAAUUCUUUCUUAUGUCCAGCUGGCAUUUCCUUUGCCACAACUUGUGACCCAUUGCCUCUUGUCCUUUUGUUCCAGUUGACAACACUCAGGUGACAAGCACACAAUGUCUCAGGAAUUAGCUACCAGCAAGUCUUAAACAAAAUUGUUCAACACUUUGAAUGGAAUUGAGGGUUGCUGCAAUCCUACCCUUUCAUCUCUCAGCUUGGGCCAUCCCUUUAUUGACUUGCCUUCAAUUAAUAAAGGGAACCCUGAAAAGUGUCCUCAACUUAAUGAGAAAAAAAAAAAAGGAGCAAUUUCUGAAAGUGACGUCAGUAGAUGAAAUCAUCAUCCAUUACUCUUUGGCCAGCUUUCCACCAGUUAUCUCCCUGAACCAGCUCACCACAGGACAGGGUAACAGCCUGUCUGCAUGAGGGAAGGAGUAGAAGCAUACAGCAAAUGCAAGGGCAGAAUCCCACAGCGCUGACAUAUAUCAUCCUAAAGUGCUGUGGAACCACUCCCUGUGUGCUCAGCACAGACAAGGAGGUGACAAGAGGGCUGGGACAAGAAACUGCAAAUUAAAUUCUCCUCUGCUCUGAGGGUAAGAAUGUCUCCCCCCUCAAGAAGUAGCAACAGAUCAACAGACUGAUACAUCUGAUUUGUUCCAUGCUACCUAGAAAUCUUGUCAAGACAAUUUUUCAAUGGUAUCCUGGCAGCCACCCCUCUCCCAGGAAAAAAAAAACUAAACAAAACUGCACAAAAAACAAACUCAGUAAAUCAACAUGACCUCUUAUUUAUCAAGACUAAAUCCACCAGAACAAAAAAUAGCCACCAUUCAACUAAAAGUAAGUUUGAAUCACACUUGUGCCUCUCAAAGGACUGUGGUUUUAUCUCAUGAGCAGUGAAAGAUCCAAAGCUAAGAAAAGCUGAUCUAUCUCAGAAGUUUCGUACAUACACCAAAUGGACUUUUUGGAUACUGUACUUGCUUUAAAAUAACCACCAGCAAAUGAUUUUACCAAUGCUGAGGCAGAAAAGUCCAGUGAUGACAAAGGCAGAGUUUUCAUAAAUCAUUUUGUUUGCUUCCUUAACAAAAGCACCUUUCUGGGGCAGGUGCAUUAAGGCACAGGGGAGACAAGGCAGUGCAAAAGAGGAAAUUUUUCUACCAACUGUGGCAGGGCAAAGCAACUUGUGCCUGUGCUGCUGCAGUCCCUCCCUCCCUCUUCCCCUGUGCUAGCUCUGGGGUGAGCACAGGAGUUCUCAGCCUGGAAAACAGGGGGAGGCAGGGAUGUGUGUUUUGACUGCUAGGAUGUGAUCUGGUGGGAGAAAACAGGAGAGAACCAGAGCAUACUGGUUUUAAAUCCCCUUAGUCCAAUGAAAAACAGGGGAGAAGUUAAAACGGUGGUCCUGACACCUGAGUCAUCUCCACAGCUCAGGUUUCUUUCCCACAGUGACAUCACCAAUCUAAAAUGGCACUGCCUGAUGCCAAUUCAAGAAGCCUCUUAUCAGAGCAUGUCACACACAGGCAACAUCCCUUGGCAGGCUGCAAAAAGCAUCUUGUGAACUUUGGGGUUCUUCUCCAUUAAGAGCCACGGGGAGCUUCUAUCCCACUUCUUAUCUAAAACCUUAGAUUCUGUUGUUUAUUAGCAAGUGUCAGUAUCUAACCAGAGUGCACAACCCUAAACUAACAAUGCUGAGCACAGAAAAAUAACAGUUUUGAGCAAAACCAGACUCCUCAACACUUCCUGAAAUUCACUUCACAAAAGCCUUUCUUGAGCAAGUCUUGUUUCAAAAGCAAAUCACUCACAUUUUAAACCUAAAUGUGAAAUGCCAUCACAAACUCCAGAAAGAGAUACACAGGGAAUAACUUCACAUCAUUUCCUCACUACCUCAUACAAAAGACAAACCAGCUCUAGGGCAAAGGCUGAAAUACCCAUUCUGAAAACCUCUUCCUCUCCCCUUGCUAAAGGGUUUCCUUCCAGUGUUAUUCCUAAGGACAGGCUUUGCCACUUACACUGCUUGAAAACUUCAUUCCCUCAAUCCCUUCUUCAGAUGUCUGGACCUUCAAUCCUUUAAAAUGAAGUCACCAUGAUGGAAUAAACACUGUGGAGCCUCCUCAGAAGAGAUCUCUGCCACAGUUCACUAGUACAACACACUGAGCUUCCAGCAGGAACAAUUCAAACUAUUAAAGAUAAUAUUCCUGCCAUAUUCAUCCUUUAACAAUGAACAAUGCCAGGGCCAUCCACACAGAACAGACUGACACCUUCACAAUGAGCAAAAAUUAAAUCCAUGUUAACAAGAAGACUCCAGACCUUGUCAGAAAUGCCCCUUUAUUACUUUCCCCAGUGCUCCAGUAUUCUUCACCACAUCAACCUCACUGCAGCAGUCCAAAAUUAAGCUCAACCUUCCUCCCUUCUGUUUCACUUAACUUCUGAGGCAUCGUAAUUCCAGAAAUCAGAGUCACCAGACCUUGCCAGCAAGAAGAAAACCUAUUUUAAUUCACAUUGCACCAGAGAUCCUCAGUUUACUGAAUUUUUUAGAAGUGCCCAUCUCCAAGGGCUCAGGACACAGCUGUGCCAGUGCCUCUGCUUCCAGGGCAUUCCACCUCAUUUACAUCCAUUCAUCAGGAGGACAAAACCUGCCCAUGCUGUACCUGCCUGCUGCACCCAGCAGCCACGGGACCUCCAACACUUCUGGAAAGGAGGCCAGAGUCCAGCAGAGCUGCCAGACACAUCCCCAGCCACUGAGCUGCAAUG
Long non-coding RNA from Poecile atricapillus (Black-capped chickadee), 4696 nucleotides. RefSeq lists it as uncharacterized. The record is from RefSeq and is a predicted model, not a curated record. The transcript is spliced from 3 exons. Lineage: Eukaryota; Metazoa; Chordata; Aves; Passeriformes; Paridae.